CUAUCUACUAUGAAGAGCCCUAUCGUGUAAGGUUGUGGGACCUACCUGAAAUGGUGAACAAAAAAUACCAGGAAGGCCCCCAGGUAGAAGAUGAGGAAGAAGAGAAAGCACAGGAGGGUGGCGUGGAGGUAGACGGUGUCUGGCGACAACAAAAUAAUCUCUUAUGGUUAAAGGCAGAAGGCUCGGAGCAGGUGACUUCUGACAUGUGAUCGCUGCAUGUGGAGAAUAUUGUCACCACCCACAGGAGAAUGACAGGGGGAAGAGGGCCCUGCGUCCGAGGGGUGAGCGCGGCCAGGACCCACCUGUAUAGUGAUGGCGAUUUUCUUUGUCAUAGACUGGUAGACUCCAUUGAAUUCCACGUUAUGAUCGAGGUCAUAAACAGGACACUAGACAAGAGAGAA
Molecule: long non-coding RNA, 401 nt
Organism: Pseudophryne corroboree (corroboree frog)
Lineage: Eukaryota; Metazoa; Chordata; Amphibia; Anura; Myobatrachidae
Exons: 3
Source: RefSeq, a predicted model, not a curated record